Long non-coding RNA from Oncorhynchus keta (chum salmon), 1516 nucleotides. RefSeq lists it as uncharacterized. The record is from RefSeq and is a predicted model, not a curated record. The transcript has 6 exons. NCBI's taxonomy places the organism in Eukaryota, Metazoa, Chordata, Actinopteri, Salmoniformes, Salmonidae.
CACAGGACCCUGGAUAUCACACCUCUCUAUAAUACCUGUAUCUAAUGUCCCUGAGGCUGAGGUAGAGGUAAAACACAGGACCCUGGAUAUCACACAUCUCUAUAAUACCUGUAUCUAAUGUCCCUGAGGCUGAGGUAGAGGUAAAACACAGGACCCUGGAUAUCACACAUCUCUAUAAUACCUGUAUCUAAUGUCCCUGAGGCUGAGGUAGAGGUAAAACACAGGACCCUGGAUAUCACACAUCUCUAUAAUACCUGUAUCUAAUGUCCCUGAGGCUGAGGUAGAGGUAAAACACAGGACCCUGGAUAUCACACAUCUCUAUAAUACCUGUAUCUAAUGUCCCUGAGGCUGAGGUAGAGGCAAAACACAGGACCCUGGAUAUCACACAUCUCUAUAAUACCUGUAUCUAAUGUCCCUGAGGCUGAGGUAGAGGUAAAACACAGGACCCUAGAUAUCACACAUCUCUAUAAUACCUGUAUCUAAUGUCCCUGAGGCUGAGGUAGAGGUAAAACACAGGACCCUAGAUAUCACACAUCUCUAUAAUACCUGUAUCUAAUGUCCCUGAGGCUGAGGUAGAGGUAAAACACAGGACCCUAGAUAUCACACAUCUCUAUAAUACCUGUAUCUAAUGUCCCUGAGGCUGAGGUAGAGGUAAAACACAGGACCCUAGAUAUCACACAUCUCUAUAAUACCUGUAUCUAAUGUCCCUGAGGCUGAGGUAGAGGUAAAACACAGGACCCUGGAUAUCACACAUCUCUAUAAUACCUGUAUCUAAUGUCCCUGAGGCUGAGGUAGAGGUAAAACACAGGACCCUGGAUAUCACACAUCUCUAUAAUACCUGUAUCUAAUGCCCCUGAGGCUGAGGUAGAGGUAAAACACAGGACCCUGGAUAUCACACAUCUCUAUAAUACCUGUAUCUAAUGUCCCUGAGGCUGAGGUAGAGGUAAAACACAGGACCCUAGAUAUCACACAUCUCUAUAAUACCUGUAUCUAAUGUCCCUGAGGCUGAGGUAGAGGUAAAACACAGGACCCUAGAUAUCACACAUCUCUAUAAUACCUGUAUCUAAUGUCCCUGAGGCUGAGGUAGAGGUAAAACACAGGACCCUAGAUAUCACACAUCUCUAUAAUACCUGUAUCUAAUGUCCCUGAGGCUGAGGUAGAGGUAAAACACAGGACCCUAGAUAUCACACAUCUCUAUAAUACCUGUAUCUAAUGUCCCUGAGGCUGAGGUAGAGGUAAAACACAGGACCCUAGAUAUCACACAUCUCUAUAAUACCUGUAUCUAAUGUCCCUGAGGCUGAGGUAGAGGUAAAACACAGGACCCUAGAUAUCACACAUCUCUAUAAUACCUGUAUCUAAUGUCCCUGAGGCUGAGGUAGAGGUAAAACACAGGACCCUAGAUAUCACACAUCUCUAUAAUACCUGUAUCUAAUGUCCCUGAGGCUGAGGUAGAGGUAAAACACAGGACCCUAGAUAUCACACAUCUCUAUAAUACCUGUAUCUAAUGUCCCUGAGG